This 409-nucleotide ribosomal RNA is filed under the name bacterium. RNAcentral describes it as "partial 16S ribosomal RNA". It matches the Rfam family "Bacterial small subunit ribosomal RNA", at positions 355 to 776 of the family's 1533-position model. The record is from RNAcentral.
UGGGGAAUAUUGCACAAUGGGCGAAAGCCUGAUGCAGCGACGCCGCGUGAGGGAUGACGGCCUUCGGGUUGUAAACCUCUUUCAGCAGGGACGAAGCGCAAGUGACGGUACCUGCAGAAGAAGCACCGGCUAACUACGUGCCAGCAGCCGCGGUAAUACGUAGGGUGCAAGCGUUGUCCGGAAUUACUGGGCGUAAAGAGUUCGUAGGCGGUUUGUCGCGUCGUUUGUUAAAACCAGCAGCUCAACUGCUGGCUUGCAGGCGAUACGGGCAGACUUGAGUACUGCAGGGGAGACUGGAAUUCCUGGUGUAGCGGUGAAAUGCGCAGAUAUCAGGAGGAACACCGGUGGCGAAGGCGGGUCUCUGGGCAGUAACUGACGCUGAGGAACGAAAGCGUGGGUAGCGAACAGG